RNAcentral lists this long non-coding RNA (573 nucleotides) under Carassius auratus (goldfish). RNAcentral describes it as "lncRNA (ENSCARG00000004574.1)". Lineage: Eukaryota; Metazoa; Chordata; Actinopteri; Cypriniformes; Cyprinidae. The record is from RNAcentral.
AUGAUUUUGACAGGAUGGGUCAGAUUGUCAGGCUUAGAGAUGGACCACUCCUAUGCAUUGCCCAAUUCUUCUACUCGUCUAAAGGCCAGACUCACUGAAGCUUUGGCUAGAGUGGAGAGUCUAGAGCGGGAGAAGCAAAAUGCAAAGACCCGGGAACGGAGAGCAAAGAAAACAGUAAAGAGUCUUCUGGAAGAUCUGAAGGAAAAGAACCUUAUAAAUGAGGAGUUGAAUGAAAGGCUUGGCUUCCACUCUGAUCUUCCGGUAGACCUCUUUUCAAAGCGGGGCCAUGAAUACACCAAGGACCAGAGAGAGUUUGGCCUCACACUGCACCUCCAUGGUCCGAAAGCCUACAGUUACCUGAAGGAUUCUCUGCAUCUUCCCCUGCCACAUCCACAUACAUUGCAACGGUGUGGAUGCAAUCAGUGGAUGUGGAUGUUGGACAUGUUGAAGAGAAGACGUGAAGAAGACCCUGCUAAAUAUGGCUCUGUGGCCCUCAUGUUGGAUGCCAUGGCCAUCAAAAAACAUGUCCAGUACAAUGACUGGAUAUGUGGAAAUUGCGAAUGGCAUGGAUGA